Molecule: ribosomal RNA, 158 nt
Filed under: Ascomycota sp. 20302
Lineage: Eukaryota; Fungi; Ascomycota
Description: 5.8S ribosomal RNA
Rfam family: 5.8S ribosomal RNA
About the family: 5.8S ribosomal RNA (5.8S rRNA) is a component of the large subunit of the eukaryotic ribosome. It is transcribed by RNA polymerase I as part of the 45S precursor that also contains 18S and 28S rRNA. Functionally, it is thought that 5.8S rRNA may be involved in ribosome translocation.
Source: RNAcentral
ACUUUCAACAACGGAUCUCUUGGUUCUGGCAUCGAUGAAGAACGCAGCGAAAUGCGAUAAGUAGUGUGAAUUGCAGAAUUCAGUGAAUCAUCGAAUCUUUGAACGCACAUUGCGCCCCAUGGUAUUCCAUGGGGCAUGCCUGUUCGAGCGUCAUUUGU